GCGGGCGUAGCUUAACGGUAGAGCAGUAGACUUCGGAUCUGAAGGCUGAGGGUUCAAAUCCCUCCGUCCGUA
This is a non-coding RNA of Hamiltosporidium tvaerminnensis, 72 nucleotides long. NCBI's taxonomy places the organism in Eukaryota, Fungi, Microsporidia, Dubosqiidae. The record is from the annotation of a GenBank genome assembly.